RNAcentral lists this small RNA (1355 nucleotides) under Pongo abelii (Sumatran orangutan). RNAcentral describes it as "retained intron". The record is from RNAcentral. Lineage: Eukaryota; Metazoa; Chordata; Mammalia; Primates; Hominidae.
UUCAAGCUGAGUUGUGGGAUUUGUGUCAUCAUUAAUCUCCAGAGUUUGGAAGCCCCUCAAACUGUGUGUAGAGACCCUAGAAUGUUGUGAACUAGGUCUUGGAAGGAGAGCUUGUUAGGGUGCCUCCUCUGGCAAUGGAAACUGCAUAUCCACACAUGACCAAAAAGCAAAUGAUAUAUUACUGUAAUACAGCCUGGCCCCAGUAUUCCCUGGGAGAUCAGAAGAGAUGGUCUGAACAUGGGUCACUUACUGCAAUUCUCCAAUUGGACUUAUUUUGCAAGAAACAUGGUAAAUGGGAAGAAAUACCCUAUAUGCAAUGUUUUAUGGCCCAACGUUUUAUGGCCCUCUAUCAAAACCCUGCCCUGCAGAUGAAAUGCAGAAUAUGUAAAUUGGCCAAAGGGAACUAUAUUGCCAAUUCUAGAAGCCUCUGGAAGCAUCAGUCAUGUGGGGGCCUAUAGGGAAGGGAACAAGUAAGAAGAGUCCCUUUAUUUCCCCCUCCAAGAGAAGUGAGGCCCUCUAACUCUACUCGGGGACUGGAACCUUGGCCAAUACAGGGGCAUAGUCCACCUUCUUGGAAAUGGUGCCCUCUGCACCUCCAGGGAAAAGCAAGGGCCUGUUCUGUAUUUGUCGGGCCCUCCAAACUCUGCAGAGCCAGCUGUGGCUCCUGCUAUGGUAAUAGCAGGCCACUGUUGUACUCUUCUUUGCCAGGGAGCACCACUCAUAGUGGGAAUGCAUAUAACCCUGGAGGGUGACUGUUGCCACUCAGAGCAUGCCUGUUGGAGAAAGAAGUUUUGCUCGGGUCUAUGUGUUUUUUAAAACUGUUGACUUGUAUAACUGGAAAUCCCAUAGUAAGGGCUUAUGGGUGAGCCCACAAGAGUUCGUAACUCUCAUAUGGAGAAUAUUCUCCACACAUAACCCUACCUGGCCAGGUGUGCAGACCGUAACAGCAACCCUGCUUACAGCAGAAGAUAAAUCUGUCACCAUGGCCAAAACUAAGGAGGAGGCAGACAAUAUGUGUGCUGAUAACCUGGUGACCUGGCCCCUUGAGGUGUCAGUCCCAAUAGCCAACCCAAACUGGGACCCCAGUGAUGACAAGAAUCAAGAACGGCUUCAUCAUUAUAGCAAUAUGCUUCUCGGAGGUACAAGGGAAGCAAGCCAGCCCCUGGUCAAUUGAGGAAAUCUCAGAGAAACAGAACAAGGCCCUAAUGAAAAUCCAUCAGCAUUCCUAAAUUGAUAAUAAGAAUGCCUCCAGAAUUACACCCCUUGGGACCCAGAUGACCCAAAAGCCGAGUAGUACUUUAAUCCCACUUCAUCUCUCAGCCCCAGAUAUUCAGAGAAUAAAAUUCCUAUUGAUC